GAUGAAGAACGUAGCGAAAUGCGAUACUUGGUGUGAAUUGCAGAAUCCCGUGAACCAUCGAGUCUUUGAACGCAAGUUGCGCCCGAAGCCUUUAGGCCAAGGGCACGUCUGCUUGGGCGUCACGCAUCGCGUCGCCCCCAAGCCAUGCUCAUCGAG
Molecule: ribosomal RNA, 156 nt
Filed under: Peplidium sp. Barker 7285
Lineage: Eukaryota; Viridiplantae; Streptophyta; Magnoliopsida; Lamiales; Phrymaceae
Description: 5.8S ribosomal RNA
Rfam family: 5.8S ribosomal RNA (bases 1-122)
About the family: 5.8S ribosomal RNA (5.8S rRNA) is a component of the large subunit of the eukaryotic ribosome. It is transcribed by RNA polymerase I as part of the 45S precursor that also contains 18S and 28S rRNA.
Source: RNAcentral